UAAGGAAUAUUGGUCAAUGCCCGGAAGGGUGAACCAGCCAUCCCGCGUGAAGGAUGAAGGGGCUCUGCCUUGUAAACUUCUUUUGAAUGGGACGAAAAAGCCUCACUUGUGAGGAACUGACGGUACCAUUAGAAUAAGCACCGGCUAACUCCGUGCCAGCAGCCGCGGUAAUACGGAGGGUGCGAGCGUUAUCCGGAAUCACUGGGUUUAAAGGGUGCGUAGGCGGCUGUAUAAGUCAGUGGUGAAAGGCUGUGGCUUAACCAUGGGAUUGCCAUUGAUACUGUACGGCUUGAAUUAGGAUGAGGUUGGCGGAAUGUGACAUGUAGCGGUGAAAUGCUUAGAUAUCGGAAGGAACAUCUGUGGCGAAGGCGGCUUCCUGGCUUCAGACUGACACUGAGGUGCGAAAGCGUGGGUAGCGAACAGGAUUAGAUACCCCCGUAGUCCCUGAGCGGGCUGGCAAGGCGCAU
This 467-nucleotide ribosomal RNA is filed under the name uncultured bacterium. RNAcentral describes it as "bacterial SSU rRNA". It matches the Rfam family "Bacterial small subunit ribosomal RNA", at positions 355 to 825 of the family's 1533-position model. The record is from RNAcentral.